RNAcentral lists this ribosomal RNA (305 nucleotides) under uncultured bacterium. RNAcentral's name for it is "bacterial SSU rRNA". It matches the Rfam family "Bacterial small subunit ribosomal RNA", at positions 337 to 634 of the family's 1533-position model. The record is from RNAcentral.
CCCUACGGGGGGGCAGCAGUAGGGAAUUUUCGUCAGUGGGCGCAAGCCUGAACGAGCAAUGCCGCGUGAACGAGGAAGGUCUUGGGAUCGUAAAGUUCUGUUGAAGGGGAAAAAGAGCGGAGAGAGGAAAUGAACUCCGAUUGAUAUUACCCUUCGAGGAAGUCACGGCUAACUACGUGUCAGCAGCCGCGGUAAUACGUAGGUGGCGAGCGUUAUCCGGAAUGAUUGGGCGUAAAGGGUGCGUAGGCGGCCUGCUAAGUCUGGAGUGAAAGGUACCGGCUCAACCGGUACAGGCUCUGGAAACU